This 399-nucleotide ribosomal RNA is filed under the name uncultured bacterium. RNAcentral's name for it is "bacterial SSU rRNA". It matches the Rfam family "Bacterial small subunit ribosomal RNA", at positions 362 to 775 of the family's 1533-position model. The record is from RNAcentral.
UAUUGGUCAAUGGGCGGGAGCCUGAACCAGCCAAGUCGCGUGAAGGAAGAAGGCUUUCGGGUUGUAAACUUCUUUUCUCAGGGACGAAGCAAGUGACGGUACCUGAGGAAUAAGCCACGGCUAACUACGUGCCAGCAGCCGCGGUAAUACGUAGGUGGCAAGCGUUAUCCGGAUUUACUGGGUGUAAAGGGCGUGUAGGCGGGAAAGCAAGUCAGAUGUGAAAACCAUGGGCUCAACCUGUGGCCUGCAUUUGAAACUGUUUUUCUUGAGUACUGGAGAGGCAGACGGAAUUCCUAGUGUAGCGGUGAAAUGCGUAGAUAUUAGGAGGAACACCAGUGGCGAAGGCGGUCUGCUGGACAGCAACUGACGCUGAGGCGCGAAAGCGUGGGGAGCAAACAG